GAAUUUGACCGAAAAAUCGCCAAAAAAAUCUGAAAUUCUGCCAAAAUCUUCAGAUUUUUGGGCGAUUUUUGCAGUGAUUUUCCUGUGAAUUCCGACCACCAAAUCGGCUGAUUUUGGGUGAUAAUUGAAGAGAAGAUUGUAGGCUUUCCAACAGUAUCAAAAUUCAGCAAAAUUGAUGGUCGGAUGUUGCCGGAAAGUUACCGCAAAAAUAGACAAAAAAACUGAAAAAUUUGCCCAGAUUUUCGCCUUUCCAGGUGGCCAACUUUGUGGGUUUAUUC
This 278-nucleotide microRNA precursor is filed under the name Olea europaea subsp. europaea. Lineage: Eukaryota; Viridiplantae; Streptophyta; Magnoliopsida; Lamiales; Oleaceae. The record is from RNAcentral.